UAUGAAUUAUAAAAAUAAUAAAAUAAGUAAGCAACUUACAGAAGAAUAAUAAAUAAAUAUUUAUAAAUAUUUAUAAAUUUAAUAAAUAUAUUUAGAUUAAUAAAUACAUUAAUAAAUAAUAAACAAAAAAAAUAAAUGAAAUAAAAAAAAGUUUCAUUUCAAAAAAGGAAUUUAUAUAGAACUAGUUCAUCAAAAACGAAAUUUUAACAAACUUCAUCUUUCUUCGAUAAUUUAUGUGUAAUGCGAUCUUUUCGCAAAAAAAUAACAGUGAGGAACCAAUAAAAAAGGAAAAGAGAUACGACUAUCAUAAAUAUUACGUCUGCUUUCUAAAUCAAUCGCCUCUCUUAAAAACUAGCUUUACCAUAUCUCUAAAUCUGAUGUCGAGAUAUCGAUGACAAGUGGACAUGUCGCGACGCGAUACAAGGUUCGAUUUCGCGCUGGUCAUUCAUGACUCCACGUGAAAUUAAGAUCGAUUUCACAUCUAACGAGCGUCGGCCUGUGGCCUGGGUGUCGCGAAACAAAUAAGAAGGGCGGGGAAAGAUGAGAUUGAGCCGGUUGGUCGUUCAACCGAGCCAGUUACAACAGACGGCGCCCAUGAUCUGGUCAGUUUGGCGAAGAACGUGAGAGUAAGUCGCUCCUGGAACGAAAAGAGGAACAGAGAGGGCUGAAUGAAGAACGAGUAAAAAAAUAUUGUGACGACGUAGUGAGACACGUGUGCAAGACAAGAACGAAGACAGGAUUGGAAGAGAGGAAGAAAAAAAAACGUUAUGACGGUAAAGAGGUUAAGGUGUGAAAGAGAUGAGAACAUAUGUGAUUGAAAAAGGCGAACGAGUGGAAGAGGAACGGGGAUAGUAUGACUUGUUGGGAAACAACUAAAGAGGGAGGAAGCGAAUAUGUAUGUGAGUACGUGGGACGGAUAAUACUUCCUUGGCGCGUGUAAUGUACUCGUCCGACGGCGCCGGCGCCUGCAUAUAUUGCUCUUUCUAUCUUUUUCUCCGUCUCGAAUAUGUUUACGUGACGUGACACAGAUUCCACAGAGACGCCUCCUGAAAAAUCUACUAUAUGAUUAUGUCUGGUGUAUGCAAAAAUUUUUGGGACGUGUCUAGAACGAGGUUAUAGUUGUUAUGACGUAUGACAUUGCGUAGCUCUUCUAAAUGUUGUCGGUUUGGAAACAAACAAAUAUUAUUAAUCAUCGAUUUUCAGAUGAAAGAUUAUUAUUGCGACAUAUGAAAGUACUUGAUAUAUAUAUUUGAAUCGUUUAGUCAAAUUACAUAAUAAAAGACGAGAAUGAUAAAUUUCAAUAUUAUUUUCCUAUCGAUACUAAUUAUGUUAAUUAUUAUUAAUUGACUGUUAUAAUUAUAAUAUUUUUAUAGUAAGUUACAUUGUUAUAUAAGUUUCUAUUAUAUUCAAAAAAUUAAAUAUUAUAUGCGAAAUUAAUAAAAUAAAAAGCAUAUAUUAAUAUAAUGUAAUUUAUAGAUAUUUAUUAUAUAUUUAAUUGUUAGUUUACAUGGCAAGUCGUGAUUUAUGUAAAUAUAUAUUAUGUAUAUUGUAAAUAUAAUUAUGUAAAUAUAUAGCAAUGUUAACGAAUGUUAGCAAUGUUAACAAUGUUAUGGAAAAUAGCAUUUAUCUUCGAUCUAAAGAAAAAAAAAAACUAGAACGAUAUAAUAUCAAAUUUAUUCAUUUAAAUUUUUCUUAUUCAAUUAUAAUACAUUUAUUAUUAUUUUUAUUGAUUACUUAUCGAUAAUGGAUCUUGACAUCGUAAAUAAAAUAUUAUCAACGAGCAAAUUUUUCUAUUUAUAUAUUAGAAUAUUAUAUAUAUAUUCUAUUAUGUAUAUAUUAUAGUACAUAUCUUUUACAUGUCGCUAUUUUAAAAAAUGUCAAAUUUCACAAUAUAAUGAGAUAAAUAACGAAUAUUUACCAUUGGUAUUCAUCAGCUAUACUGUUAAUCUGAAUGAUCAAAAAAGGGUGAGGAAUAUUUUCAAAAAUCGACACGUAAUGCAUUGUGCCUUGGCCGAGACAGGUGUCUCGAUUGCGGCGCCGGAAGACCAUAAACUGUUUUUCGGACAAGAUUUCUACCGAAAUCCUGAUACGGAAUGGCAAGCAUUAUUUACACCUCGUUGUAAAAUUACAUAUACACUUAUGUUCUUUCAUGCUGUCUACGCCUGAAUGUAUUCAGGUUCAUUUAAAUUACAGAAGGUAAUUCGCAUCUCUCUUUUUCUCUCUUCCAUACUUUCUUUCUUUAUGGAAGUAUAAUAAAAAAUUUCCGUACAUGAAUCAAAAGCAUACUCAAGUAUUCGAAUUAUGGAAUAAUGAGAUAAUUGAAGAAAUUGCAGAAAUGAUGGUGUACAUAUAACGAAAUGCUUUAAUACAUGCAUCAAGAAAAUCUGGCAAAUGAAAAGAAUUUUUAAGAAAAGAUACAUAAAGGAUUCAAACAUAUAUCUCCAAGGAUUAUUAUAUUUAUAAUAACAUCUAUUACUAAAUAAGAGGCAUUCAGUUUAAAUAAUAUAAGAAAAUUCUUUUGUUGGAUAUAUAUACGAAACCAUAUACGAGUUGAUAUGAAUGUGUAUGUAUGAAACAAAAAUAUUGGCGAUUGGCGAUAUCGCUUUUGAGUGACAUACUAAAAACACUAUACAUACUAGACUGAUUCGAUUAUUAAAAAGAUUAUAUUGGAGUAUUCAACUGAAAGGUAUUUGGAAACAAGAAGCUUUAUUAUAUUUCAUGCGAUCGAACGUGCUUCCGCACUUGACAUCCGGAUUAUCCUUAAUUCAUGAAGAAAAGAAAGCGAUGAAGGUAGACCAGGUGAAACUACCGACGCUUAUCUUAUUGAUGGUAACUUUAUUCAUCGUAUCUGUGGAGUUUGGGGCUCAGUUUUUCGUAGAAUCGGCUAUUGUCUCGGAGAUUAAUGGUCCCGCGCGAAACCAUUCGUCCUGCAAACACGAAGAUCCGAAAAAUUUCGCUUCUUUUGUGGCAUGUUCCUUUUACCUUGCGAUGCCAUGGCAAAGAGGACACGGGCCAAUUUCGAUGUUCAUUCAAGAAAUUGAACCUUCUAAAAGUUUUGUUUUCAAGAAAGAUUUAUUAAUUAUUGAACAAAAUUUAUAUUUUAUUCUGUUAUGGGUGGUUAUGUUGAUGGAAGUAUCAUGGAAGAUAAUAGAAGAUGAUGAAAGACGAUAAAAUAAAAAUGAUGAAGAAAUUAUAAUAAGUAGAUUUUAUAUUGUUUGAAUAUCUCUGAAAAGUAUUAUCAUACUGUUUUUCUACUGACAAUGAUUGAUAUAUUAUAAUGUUUUUCUACUAAUGAUUACUGACGUUAAUAGAAUUAUUUUUAGUAGUAGAAUUUAUGAAAAUAAUACAGGAAAAAAUGUUUAAUUUUUUCACAAAAUAAAAAGAGAUUUGAAAAAAUUGUCAAUAAACAGAUAAUAGUCAAAGUCUUAUAUUAUAGAUUUCUAUUUCUGUUUAUCAUUAUAAUUUAUUUUAUUUUAAACUAAAUAACAUUUCUUACGUAAAAAUAUUA
Apis cerana (Asiatic honeybee) is the source of this 3508-nucleotide long non-coding RNA. RefSeq lists it as uncharacterized. NCBI's taxonomy places the organism in Eukaryota, Metazoa, Arthropoda, Insecta, Hymenoptera, Apidae. The record is from RefSeq and is a predicted model, not a curated record.